AAAUCCUAUAAAGCGCCAGGACUAAGCGAUGGAUACGUAAAGGAUCGUUUAGUUGACGAGGUGGAGGUUUAUCGAGUGUUCGGCGGAUGCCUCCCGGUUCGUAUGUGUCACCGGACCGAAAGUUUCUUUCUUAAAACGUUAAGGCAACUUAAUGUACAAAGGGAAGAAAAAAGUGACCU
RNAcentral lists this non-coding RNA (179 nucleotides) under Rossellomorea vietnamensis. RNAcentral describes it as "Bacillus vietnamensis GlcN6P sequence". It matches the Rfam family "glmS glucosamine-6-phosphate activated ribozyme aptamer". Rfam says of the family: This entry contains a glucosamine-6-phosphate activated ribozyme that is found in the mRNA for GlmS. GlmS is an enzyme that uses fructose-6-phosphate and glutamine to generate glucosamine-6-phosphate. The record is from Rfam by way of RNAcentral. Lineage: Bacteria; Bacillati; Bacillota; Bacilli; Caryophanales; Bacillaceae.